AUUAACACAAUGAUGCCGACAAUAAAAAACUUAAAAAUCUCCCCCUUUGGCAUCCUUGUAGUCAAAACAUAAACUAACCAAUUUUCUAUCUUCAAGAAGCAUGUGCAAAAGCAAGCUAGAUCAUCUUCUCAAAAAAAAAAAAAAGCAAGCUAGAUCAUGAGCAAUAACCUACACGUAGGCGACAAGAACAAACAAAGAACUAACAAAAACAAAA
This 214-nucleotide long non-coding RNA is filed under the name Citrus sinensis (sweet orange). Its description in RNAcentral is "long non-coding RNA (CSIN_LNC005067)". Lineage: Eukaryota; Viridiplantae; Streptophyta; Magnoliopsida; Sapindales; Rutaceae. The record is from RNAcentral.